Pelobates cultripes (western spadefoot toad) is the source of this 223-nucleotide non-coding RNA. The record is from the annotation of a GenBank genome assembly. Lineage: Eukaryota; Metazoa; Chordata; Amphibia; Anura; Pelobatidae.
UUGCAUAUCCCUUCUCAGCGGCAUCGUUCUCAGAGUCGGUAUCUGACUCAGCCAUAGCCUCCUCACUAGACUCAAUUUCAGAGUCGGAGUCGCUCUCAGGUUGUGCUCUAGCACAUUUCCAUAGCCGCGCCCGUUCUGCCUGGUGCGGUAAGGCUCUCUUGUGUGUAAGGGACACACUUUCUGGGGCUACCGUAGGUACGCCAGUCUUAUGGGUUCUGGAGGC